GGGCAUUAGUGUAAAAUGAAAGCAGAUUAAAGUUUCCAUCUAAUGCAAUUAAGUCAGCCAAAUGUUCACAUGCAAUACAUGGUCUCUCACCAGUAAUUUUGUAGGUUGGCUAGUCUAGAUCAAGUCUGUGGCACGUCCAAAUCAAGAUACUUUACAUCUGUCUGAUCACACUUCAGCUGGAAUCUCCAAUGGAAAAUUUUCAUCUGUGGCCAAGUGGAAAAAGGAAGAAGUGCCUGGGCCAAGGUUUCACUGAAAUGGGAUGAGUCAUCAUGAGCUAUGGGUAUAGCACCCAACAAAUGACAGCGCCAACAAUACUCAAGAAACUUGACACCAUCCAAGACAAAGCAGUCCGCUUGAUUGGCAUUACAUCCACAGACAUUAAACUCCUCUGCCUCUGAUGCCCACUGGCAACAGUGUACACCAUCUCCAAAAUGCACAGCAAAAAUUCAUCAAGACUCCUCAGACAUCACCUUCUAAACCCACAACUACUACCAUUUUGAAGGAUAAGGACAGCAGAUACAUGGCAACACCAUCACCUGCAGUUUCUCCUCCAAGUCCCUCACUCUUCAGUGUUGGAAAUAUAUCACCUUUCUUUCAGUGUCACUGGGUCAAAAUACUGGGACUAUCUUCCUACUGGAAUUGUGAGUGCUCCUAUAUCAAGGGGAUCACCGCAGUUCAAGAAGGCAGCUCACCACCAUGUUCUCAAGGGUAAUUAGGAAAUAGGAAAAAGGAGAUAAAUUCUGGCCCAGCUGGCAAUUCCCACAUCUCAUGAAUGAAUAUAGUAAAAAUCAUGAAAAUGGCAUUUUGAGGAAAUCCAGCAAUUUUGGAAGCUUUGAUGUUCCUCUUUGUCAGCUGUUUGGGAGCUCUGUUAAUAAUAUAAACUGAGCAUCUUACCCCAGAUUGGGGGAAAAUUAAAUAGCAUCUGGAGUGAGAGAGUACUGGGAAAGGAUGUUGGCGUCUCAAAGUCA
This is a long non-coding RNA of Rhincodon typus (whale shark), 968 nucleotides long. RefSeq lists it as uncharacterized. Lineage: Eukaryota; Metazoa; Chordata; Chondrichthyes; Orectolobiformes; Rhincodontidae. The transcript has 3 exons. The record is from RefSeq and is a predicted model, not a curated record.